Long non-coding RNA from Vicia villosa (hairy vetch), 1578 nucleotides. RefSeq lists it as uncharacterized. The transcript has 3 exons. NCBI's taxonomy places the organism in Eukaryota, Viridiplantae, Streptophyta, Magnoliopsida, Fabales, Fabaceae. The record is from RefSeq and is a predicted model, not a curated record.
CAAUUAAAUCUAAUUAAACAAAUUAAAAAGUAACAUGAACUAAGAAAGGGAUUAGGUUACGCUGAAAGUGAUUGGAAUGUCUUCUUCUCCCUCUCUUCUCAACUCGGUACGGCGGACGGCGGCCGGACUCUCCCUCUCAUUUCGCGACCAGCGGCAAACGCCUCUCUCCUUCUUGUGAACGGCGGUGACGGUGGCUAUUCCCUUCUCUUCUCCGAUCAAAAGUCAACACCGCCGUACGUGGCCUCUCUCCCUCACGAGUACAAACGGCGCGACGGAGUUCUUCUCCGAUCCAAAUCCCAGGCAGCACCGCAACCAUACCUCCCGACGGCGGUGACUCUCUCUCAGUUUUCCAUCUCAGAUCCUUGUUCGGCUCAAGCAUCUUAUCACAAAUGAAGAAUAAAAAGUGUCUUAGAUCUUCAGAUUAUUGAUGUUGCAAUGAAGACGAAGUAUGAAGAUGAUUGAUGAUGUUGUUUACCGAUUGAAGAUUAUCGGAAGUUGAGGAUGAACAUGAUGCUGUUAUAAAAUUCCUGAAGAUGCAGCGUUGCUGAAGAUGAUGAACGUUGAGUGUUCUUGCCUCGAUGUGGUGAAUCUGAGAGGAGUGUUUGAUGCAGAAAUUGUUACGAUAAUGAAAUGAAGAUUCUGCAGAAAGAGAUCAAGAAUUUUUCUCAGUGAAUAUUUUUCUGUUCUCUUUUUCUUUGUGAAUUUUGGUAUGGUGAAGAUGAUUAUGGCGGUUAUUCACGGUUGAGGAAUCAAGAGAGAAGGUUGAGGAAUCAUUGAUGAAGAUUGUUGAUUGUGUUGAAGAUGAUCGAGAAAAGUUUGUUGAAGAUUCCAGAGUUUGUGAAGAAUUCUGAAGGUGAUUGAUGAAGAGGUUCGGUUGAGAGAGCAUGAAGGUCGAUGAUGAGAAACGGUUAUCGCUGCUAUGUGAAUCUGUUGUUGUUUUCCGAUGAAUCAGUGGUGAUGAGUGAAGAGAGUUUUUGGCGGUGAUGAGUGAAGAGAGUUUUUGGCGGUGAUGAGUGAAGAGAGUUGGUGAUACACGUUGCUGUUGAUUGAUGCAGGUUGCUGUUGAAGGAUUGAUGAUUCUGAAUUUCGUUUUUUCUGCAGAUUUUCGGAUGAAGAAAAUCGGUGAUGAAGUGAUGAUGUUAUACGUAUGAAGAAGAUGAAUUCUCAAGAUUGGAGAAGAUGAAGUUUUGGUGAUGGAUGAACACGGUUCAACGGGAGAACCAAGAGUUUGUUAUGAUUCCGUUAUCGGGUACCUCACUUGUGACUUGGCUCGUGGAACUUUGGCGCAACGCAGUUUCGAACUUGGAUUGGUUUCCUAGUGUCGGUCCUUUAGUGCAAGGCGGUUUGUUGUGCUUCCAGUGGUCAUUUGUGGGAGCUUUGCGGGCUUACGGUGCGGUUUCACGAAGAAGGAAUGAAAGGGAAUUGUCUUGAAGAAUUGAAGAAAGAAGUUAGGAUCCAUUUGACUUUAGUCAAAUGUGUAGUUUUAUUUGAUUUUCAAUUUUGUUGCUCGAAUAUAAUAUACCCUGCCUUCUUGUAAUGGACUCUGGAUCAAUGGAAACGUUGUUGGUUUCUUUGUUU